GACUGCAGCCUGCGCCUGAAGGAAGGACAGCAUGGGGCGCAGGAGAGGGGCUACACCCCAGCCAAAGGAGUCGCUUCCAGGUACCCCAGCAAGGGAGAUUUGGGCCAAGUAUCCAGAAACUGCUGAUCCCCAAGGCCCAUCCACCAGCUCCAAGCCCCCGGCCCCAGCUCUGGGCACCCUUCAGCCUGCGCAUGCCUGGCGCCAUCCUGAGACCGGGAGCUGCUUGUCGCCGUCGGGAAGAGGCGGCAGUUGCGCGUCAUCACCACCAGGGGGCACCAGUACAGGUAUUGGGCCACAUGCACCCAGAAUGUGACUUCAUCACCCAGCUGA
Molecule: small RNA, 330 nt
Filed under: Pan troglodytes (chimpanzee)
Lineage: Eukaryota; Metazoa; Chordata; Mammalia; Primates; Hominidae
Description: processed transcript
Source: RNAcentral